Molecule: ribosomal RNA, 678 nt
Filed under: uncultured bacterium
Lineage: Bacteria
Description: bacterial SSU rRNA
Rfam family: Bacterial small subunit ribosomal RNA
Source: RNAcentral
AAGUUGGAAGUGAAAUCCUAUGGCUUAACCAUAGAACUGCUUCCAAAACUGUCUAUCUAGAAUAUGGGAGAGGUAGAUGGAAUUUCUGGUGUAGGGGUAAAAUCCGUAGAGAUCAGAAGGAAUACUGAUUGCGAAGGCGAUCUACUGGAACAUUAUUGACGCUCAGAUGCGAAAGCGUGGGGAGCAAACAGGAUUAGAUACCCUGGUAGUCCACGCCCUAAACGAUGCACACUAGUUGUUGCCUUGCUAGACAAGGCAGUAAUGCAGUUAACACAGUAAGUGUGCCGCCUGGGGAGUACGGUCGCAAGAUUAAAACUCAAAGGAAUAGACGGGGACCCGCACAAGCGGUGGAGCAUGUGGUUUAAUUCGACGAUACGCGAAGAACCUUACCUGGCCUUGACAUAGAGAGAACUUACUAGAGAUAGUUUGGUGCUAGCUUGCUAGAACUUUCAUACAGGUGCUGCACGGCUGUCGUCAGCUCGUGUCGUGAGAUGUUGGGUUAAGUCCCGCAACGAGCGCAACCCUCGUGUUUAGUUACUAACAGUUCGGCUGAGGACUCUAGACAGACUGCCUGGGUAACCAGGAGGAAGGUGAGGACGACGUCAAGUCAUCAUGGCCCUUACGGCCAGGGCUACACACGUGCUACAAUGGGGUAUACAAAGAGCCGUAAUACCGCAA